AACUGAAUGGCUCCGUCGGUUAAGCAUCUGACUUCGGCUCAGGUCAUGAUCUCACCAACAUGGGUUCGAGCCCCACUUCGGUCU
Molecule: transfer RNA, 84 nt
Filed under: Felis catus (domestic cat)
Lineage: Eukaryota; Metazoa; Chordata; Mammalia; Carnivora; Felidae
Rfam family: tRNA
About the family: Transfer RNA (tRNA) molecules are approximately 80 nucleotides in length.
Source: Rfam by way of RNAcentral